RNAcentral lists this ribosomal RNA (566 nucleotides) under uncultured bacterium. RNAcentral describes it as "bacterial SSU rRNA". It matches the Rfam family "Bacterial small subunit ribosomal RNA", at positions 338 to 916 of the family's 1533-position model. The record is from RNAcentral.
CCUACGGGAGGCAGCAGUGGGGAAUAUUGCACAAUGGGCGAAAGCCUGAUGCAGCGACGCCGCGUGAGGGAUGACGGCCUUCGGGUUGUAAACCUCUUUCAGCAGGGAAGAAGCGAGAGUGACGGUACCUGCAGAAGAAGCGCCGGCUAACUACGUGCCAGCAGCCGCGGUAAUACGUAGGGCGCAAGCGUUGUCCGGAAUUAUUGGGCGUAAAGAGCUCGUAGGCGGCUUGUCACGUCGGGUGUGAAAGCCCGGGGCUUAACCCCGGGUCUGCAUUCGAUACGGGCUAGCUAGAGUGUGGUAGGGGAGAUCGGAAUUCCUGGUGUAGCGGUGAAAUGCGCAGAUAUCAGGAGGAACACCGGUGGCGAAGGCGGAUCUCUGGGCCAUUACUGACGCUGAGGAGCGAAAGCGUGGGGAGCGAACAGGAUUAGAUACCCUGGUAGUCCACGCCGUAAACGGUGGGAACUAGGUGUUGGCGACAUUCCACGUCGUCGGUGCCGCAGCUAACGCAUUAAGUUCCCGCCUGGGAGUACGGCCGCAAGGCUAAAACUCAAAUGAAUUGACGG